AACGGGUCAUAUGAUGGGUCGGAUUCUGUUGAUACUUUGUAACCUGGCUGCGAGUUCUGAAGGGAGAGCAGCAAUGCUUGAUGGGGGUGCAGUGGAGUGUUUUGUAUGUAUGUUGAGAAAGGGAGAGUUUGAAUCGGAGUCGACUCGUGAGAAUUGUCUUGCUGCAUUAUAUGGACUUAGUCAUGGUGGCCUUAGGUUUAAAGGGUUGGCAAAAGAGGCUGCUGCGGAGGAGCUGUUGAUACAAGUUGAGGAAAUGGGAAGUGAAAGGGCCAAGGAUAAAGUUAGAAAGAUAUUGGAGGUUUUGAGGCAGAAGGAUGAAGAGGAGGAGGAAGUUGAUUGGGAGAAGUUGCUUAAUUCGGAUGAUGAUAUCAGUCAAGCACGGAUAAGUUCUUCAUAGCUCUUGUUUGUUUCUGUUUCUUCACUGUAUGCUAUUUCAUUCCUUUUUCUGAGAAAUGGCUUGUAAUUAGGCACGGUUUUCUCUUUGCAUAGCUUCGGAUAGCAUGAUUUUGGUUUUGGUUUUGCUCGUCGUGUCUUCUGAGGUCAUGUGACAGUUGACAUGGUAAAUAAUGUUGGAGGUGUAAAGAAAGAUUCUGAACAGUGUGUUUUAGUUUUUGGAGAAAAG
Molecule: unclassified non-coding RNA, 622 nt
Filed under: Hevea brasiliensis (rubber tree)
Lineage: Eukaryota; Viridiplantae; Streptophyta; Magnoliopsida; Malpighiales; Euphorbiaceae
Source: RNAcentral